Molecule: ribosomal RNA, 464 nt
Filed under: uncultured bacterium
Lineage: Bacteria
Description: partial 16S ribosomal RNA
Rfam family: Bacterial small subunit ribosomal RNA
Source: RNAcentral
ACGAACGCUGGCGGCGUGCUUAACACAUGCAAGUCGAACGGAAAGGCCCCUUUGGGGGUACUCGAGUGGCGAACGGGUGAGUAACACGUGAGUAACCUGCCCUUGACUUCGGGAUAACUUCAGGAAACUGGGGCUAAUACCGGAUAGGAAUCCUUGCUGCAUGGUGGGGGUUGGAAAGCUUCGGCGGUUUUGGAUGGACUCGCGGCUUAUCAGCUUGUUGGUGGGGUAGUGGCUUACCAAGGCUUUGACGGGUAGCCGGCCUGAGAGGGCGACCGGCCACAUUGGGACUGAGAUACGGCCCAGACUCCUACGGGAGGCAGCAGUGGGGAAUAUUGCACAAUCGGCGGAAGCCUGAUGCAGCAACGCCGCGUGCGGGAUGACGGCCUUCGGGUUGUAAACCGCUUUCAGCAGGGGCGAAGCUUGUGGUGACGGUACCUGCAGAAGAAGCACCGGCUAACUACGUG